CCAGCACCUGCGGUAAUUCCGACUCCACAAGUGAAUGCUAAAGUUGCUGCAGUUAAAAAGUUCGUAUUUGGAUUUUUGGUAAUCUGCACACGGCCCCUCCAAAUUUUGGUGUGUGGCUACUGUGUGGGACCUUCUGGUCAGCUUCCUUUUGGGAGUUGGCCUGGUUACCGUGAGGAAAUUGGAGUGCUCAAGGCAGGCGAAUGCAGCUGAACACAUUAGCAUGGGAUAACAAGGCAGGACUCUUUUCUUGUUUUGUUGGUUUCUCGUAGAAGAGAGUAAUGGUUAAUAGGGGCAGUUGGGGGCAUUAGUACGGCCACGUCAGAGGUAAAAUUCGUAGAUCGUGGUCAGACUAACUUCUGCGAAAGCAUUUGUCAAGGAUGCUUUCAUUAAUCAAGAACGA
Molecule: ribosomal RNA, 400 nt
Filed under: Hicanonectes teleskopos
Lineage: Eukaryota; Fornicata
Description: SSU rRNA
Rfam family: Eukaryotic small subunit ribosomal RNA
Source: RNAcentral